UACAGAGGGGGCAAGCGUUGUUCGGAAUUACUGGGCGUAAAGGGCGCGUAGGCGGCCUGUUAAGUCGAACGUGAAAUCCCCGGGCUCAACCCGGGAACUGCGUCCGAUACUGGCAGGCUUGAAUCCGGGAGAGGGAUGCGGAAUUCCAGGUGUAGCGGUGAAAUGCGUAGAUAUCUGGAGGAACACCGGUGGCGAAGGCGGCAUCCUGGACCGGCAUUGACGCUGAGGCGCGAAAGCCAGGGGAGCUAACGGG
This 253-nucleotide ribosomal RNA is filed under the name uncultured bacterium. Its description in RNAcentral is "partial 16S ribosomal RNA". It matches the Rfam family "Bacterial small subunit ribosomal RNA", at positions 524 to 776 of the family's 1533-position model. The record is from RNAcentral.